RNAcentral lists this ribosomal RNA (496 nucleotides) under uncultured bacterium. RNAcentral's name for it is "partial 16S ribosomal RNA". It matches the Rfam family "Bacterial small subunit ribosomal RNA", at positions 28 to 506 of the family's 1533-position model. The record is from RNAcentral.
GAUGAACGCUGGCGGCGUGCCUAAUACAUGCAAGUCGAGCGAACAGACGAGGAGCUUGCUCCUCUGACGUUAGCGGCGGACGGGUGAGUAACACGUGGAUAACCUACCUAUAAGACUGGGAUAACUUCGGGAAACCGGAGCUAAUACCGGAUAAUAUAUUGAACCGCAUGGUUCAAUAGUGAAAGACGGUUUUGCUGUCACUUAUAGAUGGAUCCGCGCCGCAUUAGCUAGUUGGUAAGGUAACGGCUUACCAAGGCAACGAUGCGUAGCCGACCUGAGAGGGUGAUCGGCCACACGGGAGCUGAGACGCGGUCCAGACUCCGACGGGAGGCAGCAGUAGGGAAUCUUCCGCAAUGGGCGAAAGCUUGACGGAGCUACGCCGCGUGAGUGAUGAAGGUCUUCGGAUCGUAAAACUCUGUUAUUAGGGAAGAACAAAUGUGUAAGUAACUAUGCACGUCUUGACGGUACCUAAUCAGAAAGCCACGGCUAACUACGU